This is a long non-coding RNA of Paramacrobiotus metropolitanus, 2390 nucleotides long. RefSeq lists it as uncharacterized. The transcript has 6 exons. The record is from RefSeq and is a predicted model, not a curated record. NCBI's taxonomy places the organism in Eukaryota, Metazoa, Tardigrada, Eutardigrada, Parachela, Macrobiotidae.
UGGCUGAAACGGUGAUAUAAAGUGAUUGCGUUCUAAUAUUUGCGACAAAUGGAAAAGACAAACGCAUGCCGGCUGACGAAGUUGCACAUCCGCGUACUCGACCAAGAGCGCAUUUGCUCAUUCUGCAGCACUGAAUCUCAUGUGGAACCCUUCAAUCACAGGUUAACCGUAAAUUUUGUAGUGACGCAUUACCAACGAGGUUAGACUAUUGCAGCAAUUUUUCACUGCAGCGGUAGUAUACAUUUGUAUACCCUCCGUGGGUGGAUGAAUACAGGGUAAUUAUUUUUACAGAAUGUGCUAAACGAUGUGAAUCAACCCCCGCUUGGCGGAAGUUUUGACUUAGAUAAAAAAAAACAGAAUUUUUCGCCAAACUUGCGCAGUUUUCCAGCCAAAAUGUGCGCCAAUGUUACGAGGGAAGCGAAAAUCAGAAGCUGCACAGGACACGAGCUAUUCUGUUCCUAUUGGUAUCCAAACAAAGAGCAGCUUCCUAGAGCUAUGGUAUUCAUUAGCCAUGGAUUUGGGGAGUACAGACCUGUAUUUGGUGACCUAUGACCGGCUAGUCAAGCGGCUUCUGGACGCUAAUUUUCUUGCGUUUGGACACGACCAUGUCGGUUUUGGAAGAAGUGGAGGAGAACGAGCACAAAUCGACAACGUGAGCCAGACGUCGAAUGCCAUGCAGCUUCCGUGAAAGCCAAAUUGAAGGACAUUCCUAUCGUUGGCCAUUCCAUGGGUGGAGUGAUAGCAGUCGGCACAGCGAUUCAGAAUCCCAGAAUCCGAAUCUCUUUGACGGUGUAAUACUCUUAAGUCCCGGUUUGGCCGUAGCCAGCAGAUUUAACACACCGGCAAUGAGGUUUCUGGGGAGAACGUUGACACGGAUUGCACCAGGAGCGGGCCUGAUUUAAUUGGAAGCCGAAGCGAUCACGGCCGACACGUCUAUAGUACGAAAAAUGUGUCCGGUUGGGGACAGUUUCUGGAAACAGUAGCAUUAACCGUGAGUGUCGAUGCGCUUCGUCUGUCGUUAACGCCGAUUUUGCGACAGCAGAACAGUAAGUACUCCUUGUAAGCCCGAAAACACGUUAGAAAGCUUUGCGAUGCAUUGUUAAAGAUGUAGUUAGUUUGUUCUUCUAAUGGGUUUGUGUGAUGUAUGCGGCUCAAAGCCAUGAAGUGCAAAAGAUGCGUUUCGGAUGUGCAGCUCCAGUCAACGCAACUCACGACUUCCGCUGGUCAUGAGCAAGCCAGCCACACGCCCAUAACGUCAUGAAUUCCCAUUCUCAUACUGGAUCAGGCUACCAAUAAAAGGGACUAAAAUAUUUCAGGUGUUUGCAGGAAGUGAUUUGUAGGGUAUCGAAUUGCAGUAACUCGGAUACAUCCAUACAAGAGCAUAUAAACAGGCUAACACCGUUAAAGUCCUGCUAAGAUUGGCAGUGUAAAAGUGAUACAUAUUUAACGUCUUCGGUCAUCAGAUUCCACUAACGUAGUAUCACUUAGCAUAUUUUAAUUUGAAGGUGUUACGAUUUUCGAUAUGACUCCGAGCGCUAGUAAUAAAACGCUGCCAUGUUUGUGACCUUACCGGUAAACAAAUAUUGUAAUGAUGUAAACAUUAGUAAGCUUGCUUAAACUAAACUUAAAAGCGAUAAACUUAAAAGCGAUUUAAAUACAAGUAUCCAUAAUAUUAUAUAAGCUACAUCCUUCUGUAGUCAGCAAACUCUAUGUACAUUGCGAUCGCGGUUUUAUUUGGCGGCUACGUGACUGACAAUUCCAGUACGUACUGAUCCUCGGUAUUAUCUUGCCAAAGCCGUUAACGUUAGAUCCUUAACGCGAAUCCACGCAGCGCUAUGGACGAGGACAGACCGCAUUACGCUUCCGGAUCUGCACCUCCUUUGGAAUGUUUGGCAGGAGCAUACUACCCACCCAAAACAUCGUUUGUCCCGUCCGUUAUCAGCGGCAACGUUGACGCGUACGAGAGCGAUGACGUACCAAGAUAUCACUAUCAACCGGCACCCGCAACAAAAAAGGAAGUGUCUACAGCUCAAAAGAGCGGCUUUACUCAUGAGCUAAAAUUGCAUUUGAUCCGACUGCCAUUUCUGCUGUAGUCAUUACCACCGUAAAAACUAAUUCACUGACGUGUUUUCCCUCUUUUGUUACAGUUGAUUCUGAACCACUGACUAAUUAGUUAUACUUUAUGCGUUUUCUAAUCGAAAAACAAUUAAAUAUCCUUAUUUGACAAUGCGAAGGGGCAGUAAACCGUUUUUGCAUGCAUGAAGUACGUAACAAAUUUCGACAAGUUUCUGUACUGUACUAUGAAUCCCACUGUUUGAAGUAUUACGUAUUACGUAUAGUUUUGCGAUGCGAGUCAGGGCAUGUUUAAGUAAACAAAUCUAAAAUACAUU